Molecule: ribosomal RNA, 437 nt
Filed under: uncultured Oscillospiraceae bacterium
Lineage: Bacteria; Bacillati; Bacillota; Clostridia; Eubacteriales; Oscillospiraceae
Description: partial 16S ribosomal RNA
Rfam family: Bacterial small subunit ribosomal RNA
Source: RNAcentral
ACGGGAGGCAGCAGUGGGGAAUAUUGGGCAAUGGGCGAAAGCCUGACCCAGCAACGCCGCGUGAAGGAAGAAGGUCUUCGGAUUGUAAACUUCUUUUAUGAGGGACGAAGGACGUGACGGUACCUCAUGAAUAAGCCACGGCUAACUACGUGCCAGCAGCCGCGGUAAUACGUAGGUGGCAAGCGUUAUCCGGAUUUACUGGGUGUAAAGGGCGCGUAGGCGGGAGAGCAAGUCAGAUGUGAAAUCCAUGGGCUUAACCCAUGAACUGCAUUUGAAACUGUUCUUCUUGGGUGCUGGAGAGGUAGACGGAAUUCCUUGUGUAGCGGUGAAAUGCGUAGAUAUAAGGAAGAACACCAGUGGCGAAGGCGGUCUACUGGACAGUAACUGACGCUGAGGCGCGAAAGCGUGGGGAGCAAACAGGAUUAGAUACCCUGGUA